Molecule: transfer RNA, 96 nt
Filed under: Rhizoctonia solani
Lineage: Eukaryota; Fungi; Basidiomycota; Agaricomycetes; Cantharellales; Ceratobasidiaceae
Description: tRNA-Val
Source: RNAcentral
GGCCGCCUGGUGUAGUUGGUUAUCACGCAUCCUUCACAAGGCAGUUAACUCUGCAGUAGACGGAUGAGGUCUUGAGUUCGAACCUCAAGGUGGUCA